This is a long non-coding RNA of Octopus bimaculoides (California two-spot octopus), 699 nucleotides long. RefSeq lists it as uncharacterized. Lineage: Eukaryota; Metazoa; Mollusca; Cephalopoda; Octopoda; Octopodidae. The record is from RefSeq and is a predicted model, not a curated record.
UUCAAUUGUUCCCCAAACGCAUAAAUAUCGAUGGUAAAGUCUUUCAGUAUCAGAUUUUGUUCUGGCAGUUGACCAAAGCACUAUCAUGAUGCAAAAAACAUUAAUUAUCUUCGCUUUCCUGCUCUUUGUAACAGCAAUGUCCUCUGUCAAUGGCUGGACUCAACCUCCUGAUUGUGGACCGCAUAACCAAUUUUGGGAAAUAUGUUGCAACAGUCAUAUCGUUCCAAAACGACAUUGGUCUAAUAAUGCCUGUUGUGGAUAUAUCCCUUACACCUCGUCACACCCCUUCCACGAACAUUGCUGUCAUCAUCAUUGGCCUUUUUUCCAUAAUUUCAUAUGCUGAAGUAAAUCCGAACUACAUAUAAGUAUAUUCUGAUUAUGGAAUUAUCUAACAAUGUAACAUGACAAUUUGCUCGAUCCUGUCUCAAUGAUUCAAUGAUAAAUAUAAUUACAUUCAUUAUAUAGAUUAUUAAUUUCAAAAAAUAUAAUAAACGAUGCUAUUAUUGACGUAGGGUAUAUAAUGCUGCUGACGCCGAUUUUGAAACCCUUUUUAACGUAUUACAUAAAACGUUGUAAAUCACUUUUCUUCAUGUAAGACUUUAGUUAAUUUCCUAUCGUUAAUCAGAGAUAAUUUGCUUAAAUUUUGAAAGUAACAUUGUGCAGAAAAUAUAAGGAAUAAAAAUAAUGAAUGAUAUAAAA